RNAcentral lists this ribosomal RNA (590 nucleotides) under Trichoderma virens. RNAcentral describes it as "eukaryotic LSU rRNA". It matches the Rfam family "Eukaryotic large subunit ribosomal RNA", at positions 37 to 649 of the family's 3401-position model. The record is from RNAcentral. Lineage: Eukaryota; Fungi; Ascomycota; Sordariomycetes; Hypocreales; Hypocreaceae.
AGCAUAUCAAUAAGCGGAGGAAAAGAAACCAACAGGGAUUGCCCCAGUAACGGCGAGUGAAGCGGCAACAGCUCAAAUUUGAAAUCUGGCCCCUCGGGGUCCGAGUUGUAAUUUGUAGAGGAUGCUUUUGGUGAGGUGCCGCCCGAGUUCCCUGGAACGGGACGCCACAGAGGGUGAGAGCCCCGUCUGGCUGGCCACCGAGCCUCUGUAAAGCUCCUUCGACGAGUCGAGUAGUUUGGGAAUGCUGCUCAAAAUGGGAGGUAUAUGUCUUCUAAAGCUAAAUAUUGGCCAGAGACCGAUAGCGCACAAGUAGAGUGAUCGAAAGAUGAAAAGCACCUUGAAAAGAGGGUUAAAUAGUACGUGAAAUUGUUGAAAGGGAAGCGCUUGUGACCAGACUUGGGCGCGGCGGAUCAUCCGGGGUUCUCUCCGGUGCACUUCGCCGCGUCUAGGCCAGCAUCAGUUCGUCGCGGGGGAAAAAGGCUUCGGGAACGUGGCUCCUCCGGGAGUGUUAUAGCCCGUUGCAUAAUACCCUGCGGUGGACUGAGGACCGCGCAUCUGCAAGGAUGCUGGCGUAAUGGUCACCAGCGACC